ACCUGGCUGGCUCAGUUGGUAGAGCAUGAGGCUCUUGGUCUUGGGGUUGUGAGUUUAAGCCCCAUGUCAGGUG
Molecule: transfer RNA, 73 nt
Filed under: Felis catus (domestic cat)
Lineage: Eukaryota; Metazoa; Chordata; Mammalia; Carnivora; Felidae
Also listed under: 3 other names
Rfam family: tRNA
About the family: Transfer RNA (tRNA) molecules are approximately 80 nucleotides in length. Their secondary structure includes four short double-helical elements and three loops (D, anti-codon, and T loops). Further hydrogen bonds mediate the characteristic L-shaped molecular structure. tRNAs have two regions of fundamental functional importance: the anti-codon, which is responsible for specific mRNA codon recognition, and the 3' end, to which the tRNAs corresponding amino acid is attached (by aminoacyl-tRNA synthetases). tRNAs cope with the degeneracy of the genetic code in two manners: having more than one tRNA (with a specific anti-codon) for a particular amino acid; and 'wobble' base-pairing, i.e. permitting non-standard base-pairing at the 3rd anti-codon position.
Source: Rfam by way of RNAcentral